UACGAAGGAUCCAAGCGUUAUCCGGAUUCAUUGGGUUUAAAGGGUGCGUAGGCGGUUUUGUAAGUCAGUGGUGAAAUCUCCCGGCUCAACCGGGAAGCUGCCAUUGAUACUGCAGAACUAGAGUACAGAUGACGUUGCCGGAAUGUGUCAUGUAGCGGUGAAAUGCAUAGAUAUGACACAGAACACCGAUUGCGAAGGCAGCUGACGAAACUGCGACUGACGCUGAUGCACGAAAGUGCGGGGAUCAAACAGG
RNAcentral lists this ribosomal RNA (253 nucleotides) under uncultured prokaryote. RNAcentral describes it as "partial 16S ribosomal RNA". It matches the Rfam family "Bacterial small subunit ribosomal RNA", at positions 524 to 776 of the family's 1533-position model. The record is from RNAcentral.